RNAcentral lists this ribosomal RNA (352 nucleotides) under uncultured bacterium. Its description in RNAcentral is "bacterial SSU rRNA". It matches the Rfam family "Bacterial small subunit ribosomal RNA", at positions 917 to 1269 of the family's 1533-position model. The record is from RNAcentral.
GGGCCCGCACAAGCGGUGGAGCAUGUGGUUUAAUUCGAUGCAACGCGAAGAACCUUACCUGCCCUUGACAUCCUCGGAAGGGACCGGAAACGGACCCGUGCCUUCGGGAACCGAGAGACAGGUGCUGCAUGGCUGUCGUCAGCUCGUGUCGUGAGAUGUUGGGUUAAGUCCCGUAACGAGCGCAACCCCCUAUCCUUAGUUGCCAGCACGUAAUGGUGGGAACUCUAGGGAGACUGCCGUGACAAACCGGAGGAAGGUGGGACGACGUCAAGUCAUCAUGGCCCUUAUGGGCAGGGCUACACACGUGCUACAAUGGCCGGUACAAAGGGCAGCGAAGCCGCAAGGUGGAGCG